Helianthus annuus (common sunflower) is the source of this 516-nucleotide long non-coding RNA. RefSeq lists it as uncharacterized. NCBI's taxonomy places the organism in Eukaryota, Viridiplantae, Streptophyta, Magnoliopsida, Asterales, Asteraceae. The transcript is spliced from 4 exons. The record is from RefSeq and is a predicted model, not a curated record.
CAAAAAUCCUCCCAAAAUUCUGCUUCAUUCUCAUAAAACCCAGCUGAUCUUACAAGAAAAAGCCUCAAAUUAAAGGUACUGAAUAUAGCCCACACAUACUUCUGGACUCACAAGGAACGCUUGGAAUCAAAGCUUGCGCUAGCUGAUUUCGUUGAUUAAACACUCUUUAGCCGACACUGCUAUUUGCGCUGUAAAACAAAACAGGAGUGAACGUGUGCGUAUGGAAGGAUCUAGUAGGCGGACGUAGCAUAAUAAAAGCUAUAAUGGCUUGUAGUACCACUUUUAAUAUAUGGUUUGUAAUGUGAUAGUUCGAAGACGUUGUAACCGAUGCUCCUGUUCUAUGUAAUGUAAUGUUUUUAAAUUAUGAGGAGUGCCAUGUGUCUGCCGCACCCCGAGAUUGUCUUCCGCUGUGAGUCGGGGUGUGACAGAAGAUGGUAUCAGAGCUAUCGGUUAUAGCGAUUUAGGUAUCUUAACUCCUCACCCUGAGAACCUCUAGAAUGUGACAACUCGAAUUUC